This 7199-nucleotide long non-coding RNA is filed under the name Daucus carota (carrot). Its description in RNAcentral is "long non-coding RNA (DCAR_LNC004442)". The record is from RNAcentral. Lineage: Eukaryota; Viridiplantae; Streptophyta; Magnoliopsida; Apiales; Apiaceae.
UGGUGAGUGCACAGUUCCACAAUUUGAUAAAGGGAAUGCACAUAGUCCUGAAUUUCCCACAUAAGAACCUUUGUCAAAUGUCCCAAAUUGCGAGCCUUGUGGUAUGUGACCACUGAGGAGGUUGUAGGACACGUUGAAGAAUUCAAGGGAAGUGAGCUGCGAUGCUAAUUGCUGAGGGAUGACCCCUGUGAGCUUGUUUUGCGAAAGGUCCAACGAUUCAAGCUUCGUAAGGUUUGCCAAGGAUUGGGGAAUGGGACCAGUGAGCUCAUUGUUUGACAGGUUGAGUAACUCAAGCUCCUUCAGACUUCCAAGAGAUUCUGGAAUCUCACCUGUGAAAUUGUUACUUGAGAGAUCGAUAGCAGUGAGAAUAUUUAAAAUCUGCUUGUACUCCGUUUCUACACCCUUAUUCACAAGAGUUAUGGAGCUCUGCUGUUGUUGGUAAUGCCAACUGCGAGUCUGUGUGUUAAACUCUACAUCAAUCCUUAUAUAUAGUUCCGUGUCUGGACUAUGCAUUUUCAUAGCAUUCCAUAUCUUGAUAUACUCCACAGGCAAAACACCCGUCAAAGAGUUGUGAGAGACAUCAAUAAUCCGUAACAUUGGGAACUCUAAAGGACUUCUGGGGCUUCCAAGUGCACCAUGAAAUUUGUUGGAAUGCAGAAAAAGAACCUGCAAUUGAGGAAGAGUCCCCAACCAGGCGGGGAAAGUCUGUUCAAUCUGAUUAUCUGAUAGAUCUAAAAUCUCAAGCAUUUUACAACUCAUCAAAGAUUUUGGUACUUCUCCUUUAAGCUGGUUUUGACUCAAGUCAAUUUCCUUCAAAUUGCAAUCUUCUGAAUACAAUUGAGGAAUAGUUCCAGAAAAAUUGUUGCUUUGGAGAUUAAGAGAUGCCAAUGAAUUGCUCAAACAUCGAGGAAUAGGCCCACUCAUGUUGUUAUACGACAAGUCAAGUAUUGUAAGGGACAUGCCACUACAGAUCAAGGGUGGAAUAUCUCCGGUUAGCCUGUUGUUAGACACCCUGUACUCAAUUGUAUUUGGUGGUGGAACUGGGAGAUUCCCUUGCAACAUAUUAUUUCCUAUGUCAAUGACUUCUAGACUCUUACUUGAGAAAACAGUCAGAUUAUGUUCAAUAGAUGUAAGGAAGUUGGAAGAAAGGUCAACUGCCCCUAGAUGAUCACUAACAUUCCAUAUCCAGUGUGGAAUUUUCCCAUGAAUACUGUUUGCACUCAGGAAUAAAAUCUCCAAAUUAUUUUGUAACUUCAAAAAAUAGGGGAUCUUUCUCAAGUUACAGCCAUCCAAUUGUAAUUCUCUAAGAGUUGGAAUGGUAAAGUUAAUGUGAUGGUGGGUAAUGAAGGUUAUAUUGUUGGAAGAUAGACUGAGAGACUCAAGCUUUUUAUGACUGAAAAAAAUAUCAGCCUCUACUGUUCCAAUAAGAUUAUUUCUACUCAGAUCAAGAAAUUCAAGGUUUUCGAGUUGAGAGAAUGAGCUCAAUAUUGGGCCUGUUAGUUCAUUAUUGGACAAAUCUAACUCAAUUAAGUGGGUCAUGUUCGUUAGGCACACUGGUAUUUCACCCGCAAAGUAAUUGGAAUCAAGAUAAAGAUGGGUAAGUUGGGUAUUGUUUGCAAGAGAUGAUGGGAUGUCACCAUGUAUAUUGCAAGAUUCAAGGUUCAAGUAAGUAAGUUUGGUUAAGUUGUCGAGCCAGGAAAAACUUGUAGAUUUACUGAAUUUGUUAGAGGAAAGUUAUAGAUGAGUGAGUUGGGUCAAGUUAGCAAUAGAGGUCGGAAUUGACCCUGAAAAGUUGCAGGCUCCGAGUUUCAAUUUAGUAAGUGACUGCAAAUUUCCGACUGAGAUUGGCAGGUUACCGGAGAAAUUUGUGAAGCUAAGUCUCAAUUCCUUGAAGGAGCUUGUUCGGUUAAACUCUGGCAAAACACCGGUUAGAUUGUCGUUGUCUCCCACAUCAAGAACAAGCAUGUGGGGAAAAUGGAAAAUAUCAACGGGAAAGAUACCAGAGAAGUCGUUUUCAUUCAGAUCAAGGUAAGUCAAUUUGAACAAUUUUGACAGCUCGGUUGUGAUUGCGCCAGCAAAAACAGAGAAUGAGAGGUCAAGGCGAGAUAAACUUGAAAGAUGAGAAAUUUCAUGUGGGAUUGUGGAGCGCCGAAAGUUAUUGUCAGCCAAGUUUAGGGUCUGAAGGUGAACAAGGGUAAAGAUAUUGGAGCCAAGAGUGCCAUAGAGGUAGGCGCUGUUGAGGUGAAGGCCAAUGAUAUAACCAGUUUUUUCAUCGCAUUCGACCCCAUGCCACGAGCAGCAAUCAGUACCAUUUUCUCCCCGAGCCUUCCAAGAUUCAGUCUUUGAGUAAGCAGACGAAUCAUAAGAGGCGGACUCAUUAAGUGAAGGGCUUUGCUUAAAGUGUAACAAAACAGAUCUCUCAUGAUCGUGGCACAACAUAGCAGCAGGGGGCAUUAUGGUAUGCACCCUAGCAAUAACAUGAAGAGAGUAUAGAAGAAACAAGAAUAUGAAGUUUUUAAGACCGUCUCCAACCCAUAACACCAUUUUGGUGUGAAAAAUACACCAAUUUGGUGUGAAAACUACACCAAAUCAAAAUUUCACUCCAACCCAUCAACACCAUAUCCUAUACCAAAAAGAAUCUUUUACACAUUAAAUGGAAUAUUCACUCUUUUUAAGGUAUUUAUAUCAUUAUUGAAUUUGUACUUAAAUUUUAACAUGUUCAAUAAACAAGGACCUAAAAUAAUUAUAAAUUCAUUAAUAAAUUCAUUAAUAAAUUCAAGAGGACAACUUAAUUAUAUGAAUUCCCAUGCUCUUCCCAUAUGUGCUCGAUCAAGGCAUUGCGAAGUUCAAAAUGAGCUUCCUUAUCUUUAAUUUGUCGAUAUCUACUAAGAAAAUCUUGAAAUUCGUCAUCUCCAUUUCUUUCCAUUUCGACAGCGGCAGAAGAUGUUUCCACGUAAUCAUGUACAUGUCUCGUUCAUCCUCAACUAUCAAGUUGUGCAUGAUAAUACAUAUGUGAGGGUAUACAUAUGUGAGGUAAUUUUAAUCAUUGUGUAUUCCAUUUUUAAUCAAAUCUAUUUAAAAAACAUAUCUUCUAUAUAAGAAUAUAAAUUUAUUGAUAUUUGGAAAUAAAUAAAAAACUUGAGUAAAAUAGUAAAGAAAGAAAAUUUAAAACAAUUAUGAUUAAAGAAUAAAUAAUAUAACAUAAAACAACUUUAAUGGGACAUAGAUGGAAUAAUUUUGUUUUCAUUAACAUAUGUGAGGGUAUAGUAGGUAUUUUGGAAAACUCCAAAUUUGGUGUAAAAGUUGCACCAAAUCAAUACUUGACACCAAAUUUGGUGUCAACCAAUUCAUUUGGUGUCAACUUUACACCAAUUUGGUGUUGGGUUGGAGUGAAUUUGACACCAAAUUUGACACCAAAAUGGUGUCUUGGUGUUGGGUUGGAGUUGCCCUAAAGCUGUACGACGCCAUCGCAUAUAUGUAAAACUCUUCGACUUCUGGAAUUUAGAGUCGUUGGAUAGCUUUAUAUAUAUCACGCUAGUGUUAUAAAAAAAAACUGGGUAAUCUAAUUCACCUAGUCUUCCACUGAACAAGUUGAAUACCUUUUUUAAUUGCGUAUGAAGCAUUUUUCUUAACUUCUUCCAAGUAGUGGAGGACUUGUCAAAAUUCUAAUUCAGUUUUUCUAAUUAUGCUUCCUAGAUAAAUCGCAAUUCGAAUUCACUGAUCAUUCAAUUUGAAUAUUUUUCUUCAUCAAAACUCACAUGAGGAUUAGAUAAAUAUAAAAAGUUGUCAGGUAUUCGAAUUCACUGCGCUUUAGAUUUGAAUACUUUUCUUGAUAAAAAUAGUGUGUUUCCGGUCUAAGGACUGGAUUAAGAGGUUUGUUGUGAUUAGAAUUUAUUGGAUCUUUAACUAAACUAGUUGAAUACUUUUCUUCAUAAAAAAUAUAGUGUUUAGAUCGGAUUAAGGACUUGCAUGUUUAGAUCGGAUUAAGGACUUGCCGCAAUUCAAAUUCAGCCAGCCUUCCACAAACAGCUGAAAUACUUUCCUAAAUAAAAAAAUAUUGUGUUUUGGAAAGUACCAUGCAAGGAAAAUAAGUUAUUCAAUAAAAUUAUGUUUUCAUAUUUUUUAAAAACUAGCUUAUAACCCCUCCCAAGCACGAGUUUAAAUAAUUUUUAAUUUAUUAUAAUUAUAAUAUUUUUUUUAUUUGAUUGCAUUAUCAUAUUCUCAAUAUACUUAUAUACAUUAUCUUUAUUUAUAUAUAAUACUUUCUAGACUUUUAAUCCUAUUUUAAUUUAAUUAUUUAUAAAAAAAUAUUUUCAAAUAUAUGUUAUGAUAUGAAUUUGUUUCGAAAAUAAUAUAUUUUAUUUUAGUAAAAUCAUCGUGUUGUUUACUAUUUCUUAAGAGAUGAAACAAUAUUUUGCAAUUGCCUUAUAGGUUCCUUAAAUUUUUACUAAAAUUUAAAUUUAUAGUUGGUUUAAAAGUAAUUAAUAUAUAAAUCUAACAGGAUUUUUAAGUUAGAUAACUUGAAUUUAUAAUUAAAUCGAAACCACGUGACAAUUGAUUAUUAGUGAUAUUAGUGAUAGUGACAUCGUUAGGGCGGAUCAUAAAAGGGGCUGGGGUUGGCCCUAAGGUGAAAUUUCAGUCGACCCAUUCAUAUUUGUAUAUGUGUUAAAGUUCAUCCCGAUGAAAAAAAAUAAAAGCCAUAUUGACUAGCCAAAUUCAUAAAUUGUCUUUACUUCUUUAACACGGUUCUCUACCUUACUUUUAAUGAACAAAAAAUAUAGGUUAAACAUUUAAAAUAGGUUAGACACUUAAAAGUACGUGAUUCUUUUAAAUUGUUAUUGGACAGACUUGUGUAAUACAAAAUUAUACAUGUUUUCAUCUUUUGUAAAUGUAAAAUUUUAAGAUGUUUUUUAAAUAUGUGAUUUAUGUAUGCUCUAUAGAAUUAUAGAGUUUUUAUAUUUUUUUUAGACUUAAUAUUGAUUUCUCUUUUCCAAUUUAUUUAUAGAUUUCUAAUAGCUAAUCGUCUCAUUAUGUUUUAAUCCUGAUUUAUGGUAAUACAUAUGUACGUGUAUGGGUAUAUGCCAUUGUUUUAAGGAGUAAACUUCAGAGUUGUGGCCAAAGUUUGCACCGGUUUUCAAAAAAUUGGCCAGAGUUUCAAAUUCUCAAAGAUGGCCAAAUUUUGGCUCCACUUUUUAAAGUGUGGCUCCCGUUAAAUGUCCCUAACGAAAGCCUAACGGGAGUCACAUUUUUGAAAAGCGGGCCAAAAUUUGGCCACUUUUCUCAGAAUUUAGAACUUAUUUUUACCCUUCUGUCCGUUCCAAAUUCUCAGAAAAGUGACCAAACUUUGGUCCCCUUUUCAAAUAUUUGGCUCCCGUUAGGCUUCCGUUAGUUACAUUUAACGGCAGCCACAUUUUUAAAAAGGGAGUCAAAAUUUGGCCACGUUUCUAGAAAUUUGAAACUCUGACCAACUUUUUGAAAAUCCACGUAAACUUUGGUCACAACUUUGAAGUUUACUCUUGUUUUAAGGUUUUUCCUAUUGUAAAUAGAACAUUAUUAAUGUGCAAAUGUAUACCAACGAAAAAAGACUCUGGUUUGCCCUUGUUUAAUUCCUAUUACGUAUCUAGACUGAAAUUAUUAAUUCGAGGAAAGCUAAUAUAUUGAAGGAAACCCUCAAGACACAAGAGCCUGAAUAUAUGGUUCAUACCAUACUUGGCUUCAUUUUAUAUUUUAUUACAAGCAGAGCCGACUCUGGUACCAAGCUGCAUAUACUAAUGAAUGUGGUACCAAAAAAAUUGAAUGUUCUGGGGGCACAAUUUUUUUCUUACAAAGAAUAAAAGUGAUUGAAAAUAUAUGAAGAUGCACGAUAGAAGAUAAAAUUUAGAGGACAUCGGAUAGGAAUCUAGUUCCAGAUAUAUACUAUAGAAGAUUCAUGAAUAAAUUUGCUACUGAAAUUGCUAGAAGAAGAGUAAGAGUUCCGAAAAAUGAACUGUGUAUGCAUUUGAUUUUGAUAUAUAGUGCAACAAAUUUUAAAUUCGCUCGAGACAUCCAAUUUUUCAGGGCCGGGCCUGGUUAUAAGUGAGGGUGCCGGAGAAUAUCAUAUACUUUACACUUUACAUACAACUACAAGCUCAGACAUCUGAAACGGCAGCUAAAACUUUUCACGGUGUUUGCAUUACUGCUGAACUUUAAAUUGUAAAAGCAGUAGACACAGUGCAGAAAUAAACUUUAGGUGCAGUACUAACACAUACUUCCAACAAGAUACCUGCAUAAAACUAUAUAAACUAUGAUAUAAACAAUAACGAUUUUCCUAGUGUCUUCUAUGUGGACAUGCUAAGCACUAUAUUUUAUACGUAUAACUUAUUUUGAUUGACUCAUACCCCUGCAUAUACAAAAACUAAACCAAUCAAAAUAAGCUAAAUGUAUAGAAUUUAGUGCUUAGCAUGUGACCAUGUGCACACAGCAGACAACUCAAACAAUAAUAUGCACUAUUAUUACAACUAACAAGAGACUGGAAACUCACAUUUUUGGGGCAAACAACUGUUAACCUGCAACAUUCUGAUCCUCAUCACUAUCUCCGAAUGAUCGAUCUCUUCGCCCUCCGCUGCUUCUUUUCUCUGCAUGCAAAGCUCUGGGCAAUCGAACUUAUCAGCCAUGGGUAUCCAUCCGUUAGAAUGUUUCCCAUUACAUAUCCCACCACCAGUCCACUUCCGACUCCUGCUAAUAUGAACAUCCAAUCAAAACCACUCGGAAACUCAUAUGUAUCAUCAGAAUCACCCUCGUCGCCAUCGGCUGGUGGUGAGUGCACAGUUCCACAAUUCUUAGAUAUAGGAAAUCCAAAGAGUCCUGAAUUUCCUACAUAAGAAUUGUUGUCAAAUGUCCCAAAUUGCGAGCCUUGUGGUAUGUGACCACUGAGGAGGUUGUAGGACACGUUGAAGAAUUCAAGGGAAGUGAGCUGCGAUGCUAAUUGCUGAGGGAUGACCCCUGUGAGCUUGUUUUGCGAAAGGUCCAACGAUUCAAGCUUCGUAAGGUUUGCCAAGGAUCGGGGAAUGGGACCAGUGAGCUCAUUGUUUGACAGGUUGAGCAACUCAAGCUCCUUCAGAGUUCCAAGAGAUUCUGGAAUCUCACCUGUGAAAUUGUUACUUGAGAGAUCGAUAGCAGUGAGAAUAUUUAAAAUCUGCUUGUACUCCGUUUCUACACCC